AGCUUUGCACAGUGGCAAUACUGUAGCCAAUGAGAUUUACCUGAGGCACGAUUAUUGCUGAUAGAGUGGGAUUUUUCUCUGUAAUAGUUCCAAUGGAAUUGCACUUAAUGUUUAAGUUUUUUUAUAUUUAUAAAAGU
Molecule: small nuclear RNA, 137 nt
Organism: Phyllostomus hastatus (greater spear-nosed bat)
Lineage: Eukaryota; Metazoa; Chordata; Mammalia; Chiroptera; Phyllostomidae
Product: U4 spliceosomal RNA
Exons: 1
Source: RefSeq, a predicted model, not a curated record